GCAAGUCGAACGGUAACGCGGGGUAACCUGGCGACGAGUGGCGAACGGGUGAGUAAAGCAUCGGAACGUGCCCAGUAGUGGGGGAUAGCCCGGCGAAAGCCGGAUUAAUACCGCAUACGACCUACGGGUGAAAGGGGGGGAUCGCAAGACCUCUCGCUAUUGGAGCGGCCGAUGUCAGAUUAGCUAGUUGGUGGGGUAAAGGCCUACCAAGGCGACGAUCUGUAGCUGGUCUGAGAGGACGACC
Molecule: ribosomal RNA, 244 nt
Filed under: uncultured bacterium
Lineage: Bacteria
Description: partial 16S ribosomal RNA
Rfam family: Bacterial small subunit ribosomal RNA
Source: RNAcentral